UCUUACAUCACAUAGCGCCUGCAACUCCCCUAAAAGCCACCACCAUCACCAUCACAACAACCACCACCGCUCAGCUAGCAGAACAAGUAGAUAAAGAGAAAGUAAAGAGGAAAGGAAGAAUUUUUAAGCAUGGUAGGGACUGGGACGGACUCUCAAGCUGUUGAGGUAGAGGGAAAUGCUGGGGUUUCUGAUCAAUUGAAAAGCCUCCAAAUUAACAACAAUCAGCAAGGCGAUGAUAAUCAUGUCUUGUCUCAAGAUAGCAAUGGUAAGGGAAUCUCUCCUACUGAAAAGAAUGAUGACGACGGUGAGCAAGGGGAUGAACAAGCAGUAAAUGAAUCACAAGGGGUGUUUCAGGAAUGCUACAUUUGUUGAGCUAUGCAUGUAGCAAAUAAUUUGUUGAUGCUUCAUUCUACGUGGAGGGGAUUAUUUAUCUUGGAUAAAGGGCCUUGAUAUUGUCUGUAGUAAAGUUAUUUUCCGAAUUUGUCAAUAAACUAUAGGUGCCUCUUUCAAAGACAGUGUCAUGAAUUCUGAAUCCAGAUAUGGUGAUCUUGUUAAUGUGAAACCAACAAUGGGAACCAAUGAAGGUAAACGACGAGCAGAAAUAGUGGAGUGAUUACAUGAAAUGGUCCCUGAUUCAAGGCUCCCAUUGGAAGCUUCUGAAGAGGACCUCAGAGAAUAUCUGAUCAAUGGGGCUGUUUUUGAUAGCAUUUUGAACAGGCUGAGUCUGGAAUCUGUUGAUCAGGUUGAUAACUCAAACUUCUCUUCCGAGUCACAUUUGGAGAGUGUUUCAAGGUUUCUGGAGGCCGUGUAUGAAAUGGGAUUGCCCAAGUUUGAGGUGCAAGACCUAGAACAGGGAUCUAUGAAACCAGUUUUGGAGUGUUUCUGGGCAGUUAAGGAAAAGUUUAGUUUAACCCCUGGAGAAGUCGCACGUUCAUCUUCGAUCAGAAGUCCAAACAAUGGAAGGAGGAGCUGGAGCUUGUCAGGAGCAGAAUUUGAUAGUUCACCGGAUAUUUUUCUCCACCAGGACAUAGUUCUUUGGGGUCUACGGAUGAGAGACGGAAGAAUACACAAGACUCAAAGUUCAAGCGUGUUUUGCGAAGUCAUGUUGCAUCAGAACCAUCAGCUGCAUUGAUACAUCAUGUUGGACAUAAGUUUCAUGAGGUGUUUUAGUUGAAAGAAGGACGUUAUAUCUGAAAUGAUGAAAUCAAAUAGUUUAGAUAAUGCCCCAACUCAAUCGCUUUUGAGUGUCAUUCGCGGAAUCUUAGAUGAGUGCAUCGAAAAGAAAAAUGGGGAAAUACCUCAAGUAUGCCACGUGUAUCAAUCCUUUUGAAAAAAGUUAUGUUAGAAAUUGAGCGACGACGUGCAACUCAAGCAGACCACAUUAGAAGUCAAAACAAUCUAUACAAGUCUCGCGAAGAUAAGUAUCAGUCUAGAAUUAGAAUACUUGAAAUCCUUGCAACUGGGACUAGUGAAGAGACCCAGAUUGCUAUGAACAGGCUUUAGCAGUUAAAGGUCCAUUUAGCCAUUACUAUGUUUUUUUGUUAAGUAUGAUACGUAAGUAUGGUUGUCGAGGUAUGAUCGCUGUCGUAUGCGUCAAAAAUAAAUUACACUUUCUCACUACUCAAAAUAUAUAAUAUAGCAAGGGUAAGAAAGGAUCGUUCCCACACAGAGGACUAUGGUUGUCAAGUUGUUUCGAUUUCCUAUAAAUAACAGUGGGGAGUUUU
Long non-coding RNA from Papaver somniferum (opium poppy), 1724 nucleotides. RefSeq lists it as uncharacterized. The transcript has 12 exons. The record is from RefSeq and is a predicted model, not a curated record. Lineage: Eukaryota; Viridiplantae; Streptophyta; Magnoliopsida; Ranunculales; Papaveraceae.